GCUGGCAUAGCUCAGUUGGUAGAGCAGGUCAUUCGUAAUGAUCAGGUCGUAGGUUCAAAUCCUAUUGCCAGCU
This 73-nucleotide transfer RNA is filed under the name Pectinatus cerevisiiphilus. It matches the Rfam family "tRNA". Rfam says of the family: Transfer RNA (tRNA) molecules are approximately 80 nucleotides in length. Their secondary structure includes four short double-helical elements and three loops (D, anti-codon, and T loops). Lineage: Bacteria; Bacillati; Bacillota; Negativicutes; Selenomonadales; Selenomonadaceae. The record is from Rfam by way of RNAcentral.